UGGGGAAUCUUCGGCAAUGGACGGAAGUCUGACCGAGCAACGCCGCGUGAGUGAAGAAGGUUUUCGGAUCGUAAAGCUCUGUUGUAAGAGAAGAACGAGUGUGAGAGUGGAAAGUUCACACUGUGACGGUAUCUUACCAGAAAGGGACGGCUAACUACGUGCCAGCAGCCGCGGUAAUACGUAGGUCCCGAGCGUUGUCCGGAUUUAUUGGGCGUAAAGCGAGCGCAGGCGGUUAGAUAAGUCUGAAGUUAAAGGCUGUGGCUUAACCAUAGUACGCUUUGGAAACUGUUUAACUUGAGUGCAAGAGGGGAGAGUGGAAUUCCAUGUGUAGCGGUGAAAUGCGUAGAUAUAUGGAGGAACACCGGUGGCGAAAGCGGCUCUCUGGCUUGUAACUGACGCUGAGGCUCGAAAGCGUGGGGAGCAAACAGGAUUAGAUACCCUGGUAGUCCACGCCGUAAACGAUGAGUACUAGGUGUUAGACCCUUUCCGGGGUUUAGUGCCGCAGCUAACGCAUUAAGCACUCCGCCUGGGGAGUACGACCGCAAGGUU
RNAcentral lists this ribosomal RNA (549 nucleotides) under uncultured bacterium. RNAcentral describes it as "bacterial SSU rRNA". It matches the Rfam family "Bacterial small subunit ribosomal RNA", at positions 355 to 895 of the family's 1533-position model. The record is from RNAcentral.